GCGGGCAUUGUCCUAGUCUUAACUGAACUGAGCAUCACGUGGGACCUGGACUCCUGUGAGAUAUCCAUUAUAACAUUUAGUGAUGACACUCUGGACAUAAUAUUUUUGAUUUAGUGUUGUUUUUCUUAUAUUAUUUAUAUGUACUCGGUUAACUCCUACGGUGUGAUUGUUAUCGCCUUGCAUACAAACCAAGUAAUGCUUCAUAUCUUUGGAUUUCCAUACCGCCCAUAUAUUUAUUCAUAUAUGCUUCAUAAAUUUGUAUGUAUAUAAUAUUCAUACUAUCUUUUGUUUAUGUCUUUUUUUUGAAACAUUUUGUUUAUAUGUCUUUGAUACUAAUGUGAGGAAUCAAUAGUAAAUUAGUAAUUACUUAUUCAUGACAAAUUUGACUUAUUCUGCUGUAGUGCAAUGGAUGAAUUAUGCACAAGAUUUUCACUACCUCAAUUUUAACAAAUCACCACCUCAUCAUAUGUUUGGAUUCCGGAUUGUUGAUCCUAUGUUGCAAUAUCUGAAAAGCAUAUAUCAUCCCGCAGCAACGCGCGGGGUGCCAACUAGUACUCAUGAUGACUAUGCACCAGCUAUGUAUGGUUCUUUUUGAUUAUGAUUUUUUUACUCUUAGUUAUAUAUUUUUCUAGACGGUAUUCUCGAUUUUCGACUGCUAAUAUGCACAAAACUUUCUACAAUCGUAUGCAAAUAAACAUAGAGCUUUCCCAGAAUUUUCUGUGAUAAGUGCUUUGAAUUAUAUAUAAUGUAACUAUGACUUAAGUCACUAGCAACCUAUCCGGAAUUUGUGGAUUGUUGAUGUAUUCAAAUGAGAACAAGAUAUGUUACAUUUAUGUGUGUCGAUGGAUGCUGCGGUGUAUCCUCCUGCCGAUUCAUCCUCUGUGGGUUCUGCAUCGUCCCGCUUGACUUCGUCAUUGAUGCCGACGUGCUCCUCGCGGAACACCCAGCACACUCUUGUUCAGGUAUGACUAUCCCGUUCUGACUUCUGGGGGCCUCGGUCAGGUGAAGAUUUAGUGGCUUGCAGUUGAGUUAGGUGUGGCUGGAAAUUCAUCUCAUUGCAGACUGGUUAACCGAUCUAAUGACGGACAUCUUACACCUCUUGAAGUUGUGCUUGUAAUGAGUCCAAAUGUCCAACAAGUAUUCAUUAUCAGCUACAAGCUUACAACCUCCAAGGAUUUUGUCAAGCUUGGUGCGCAGAACACACCGUUCCGACUCUCCUGCAACCAAUCAACAGAUGAGUUAGAUCCACUUCUGAGAAGAGCAGCAACACUGUUGACGUUAUUUAAAACGUGAUAAUUCUGAGUGAUACUUAUGACCAGUGAAGAUUUAUAUGAAUUUCUUUUGUUACAGCUCGUGAGGGACCAAUAUAUCUACAAUUUAGACGAUAUGAUAGGCUUGAAGAAACAGGGUGAGAAUCAAAGCAAUAUAUAUUCCUUGAUCAGUCAUUUUAUCCUUGUUCAAAUAUCAGUGUGUCGGCUUGAAAGCUUGCACCAAGAAAUGGGAUCUCUUGUAAAAUUUUCCAUAUUUCUCUCUUUAGUCUUUCAGAUUUUUGCACCAAGAGAGUAAAAUUCUCUGGGAAGUAUUUUGUCCCGCUGCUCCAAUAUGAUCCAACUUAUGUUAUGAUGUAGUUAUUCUGUUUAAUCUUUAUAUUUUAUACACAGGGUCACUUAUUGGAUUCUUUGUGUCGCAGACACUUGGUUACUACAGUGCUGGGACAGAAGUGGAGCAUGGCAUCAAUCUUGUCGAGCCGGUCACGGCAGGGCCGCUUCCUUCCGGCAACGAGGAAAUUGGGAGAAGGUAUGAGCUACCACCGAUAAAUUCGGAGCCCCUUUCAUCUAGGCCGAAAGCCAACCACGUGAUUGUCGCUGACGCGUCCGCAUCUCCGGCCACCAACGGUUCAUGCCGGUGCCUAUCAGCUCCACGGGCUCGUUGACGAUUUGUCAAAGGAGCCACAAGUUAAAAGAGAUCUCAUGAUUACAAAGUUAAGCGUAGAGCCAGAGGUGAGGUUAGAAUUUGUUUACUCUUUUGCUUAUUUCUCCAUCUCUAGUGCUACAUGCAGGUGAUGGGUUUGGUUGAUAUUUUGAGACCAAAAUUGGUUGAUCUUUAACUUCUACAUUUUUUUAGUUACCACUGUCCCUAUGUUAGCUGUUAAGCAACAUCAGACCAAUAUCUCCGAAAGGAUUUGUAUCUACAGGAAUAGCAGUGCAAUGUAAAAUUAUACAUGUUGAGCUACCAACUGAGAAUGUUGAUUACAGUUAGCAGUUUUCCUUGCCAUUCUUCUUAACUGUUAUCUCAUUUGGUUAGCCACACACUGAUUUAGAUGGUUACAACUCAUGGAUAAUUGCCUAGCAGGCCAUACUUUUCUCCCAUGAUCAUGAGAAAAGAUGAUGAUACUUAUGACUUGAAAGGAUAUCAUCACACAUUUUGAUGUUGACUAAUGUUAACCCAGGUAAUUUUUUCUUCACCCAGAUAUACCGGUAGGCCAUAUCUGAAGAAAUUUCCUUUUCUUGUGCAUACAUGCAACAUGGCUUUUCAAAAUUCCGGAAGGAUAGGUUGUUGAGUUGACAAUAUGAUGGCUCAGAACUUAUGUGCGGGGCUUACCCCGUAAGAGUAACAAGAAGACCUAGAAUUCGGAAUCACUUUUAUCA
Non-coding RNA from Lolium perenne, 2648 nucleotides. NCBI's taxonomy places the organism in Eukaryota, Viridiplantae, Streptophyta, Magnoliopsida, Poales, Poaceae. The record is from RefSeq and is a predicted model, not a curated record.